UGGGGAAUAUUGGACAAUGGGCGGAAGCCUGAUCCAGCAACGCCGCGUGAGGGAUGACGGCCUUCGGGUUGUAAACCUCUUUCAGCACAGACGAAGCGCAAGUGACGGUAUGUGCAGAAGAAGGACCGGCCAACUACGUGCCAGCAGCCGCGGUAAUACGUAGGGUCCGAGCGUUGUCCGGAAUUAUUGGGCGUAAAGGGCUCGUAGGCGGUUUGUCGCGUCGGGAGUGAAAACACCGGGCUUAACUCGGUGCUUGCUUUCGAUACGGGCAGACUAGAGGCAUUCAGGGGAGAACGGAAUUCCUGGUGUAGCGGUGAAAUGCGCAGAUAUCAGGAGGAACACCGGUGGCGAAGGCGGUUCUCUGGGAAUGUCCUGACGCUGAGGAGCGAAAGUGUGGGGAGCGAACA
This 407-nucleotide ribosomal RNA is filed under the name uncultured bacterium. Its description in RNAcentral is "partial 16S ribosomal RNA". It matches the Rfam family "Bacterial small subunit ribosomal RNA", at positions 355 to 774 of the family's 1533-position model. The record is from RNAcentral. RNAcentral also lists the same sequence under 1 other name.